This 228-nucleotide ribosomal RNA is filed under the name uncultured bacterium. RNAcentral describes it as "partial 16S ribosomal RNA". It matches the Rfam family "Bacterial small subunit ribosomal RNA", at positions 97 to 334 of the family's 1533-position model. The record is from RNAcentral.
GGCGGAUGGGUGAGUAACACGUGAGAAUUUACCUUUAGGAGGGGGAUAACAAUUGGAAACGAUUGCUAAUACCCCAUAUGCUUUUGAGUGAAAUGGAUUUAUAUUUAUCCGCCUAGAGAGAAGCUCGCGGCUGAUUAGCUUGUUGGUAAGGUAAGAGCUUACCAAGGCGACGAUCAGUAUCUGGUUUGAGAGGACGAUCAGACACACUGGAACUGAGACACGGUCCAG